This is a non-coding RNA of Oryza glumipatula, 119 nucleotides long. Lineage: Eukaryota; Viridiplantae; Streptophyta; Magnoliopsida; Poales; Poaceae. The record is from Rfam.
AUGGGUGUCGGUUUUUAAGAAAAAACCGGCAUCUGUAAUAUAUUAUAGGUGUCAGUUAAUUAAAAACCGAGACCUAUAAUAUAUUAUAAGUGCCGGUUUUUUUUAAAACCGACACCUAU